AAAAACCAUAUCGCACUUCGUGUAUUUCGUUAGAAAUUGAAAACAUUGUUAAAGCGAACGGCUUGAAAGCGGCAAUUGUUUAAAGAUAAAAAAAACAACUCCAAACCUAUACACAUAUUUAAUAUAUAUACCGAAAUUCGAUGUGACAGGUGACACAUAUGUGUGUGCAAAAUAUAAGAGCGCGCUUACUCACAGUCGAGUUGAUAACAUACAUUCAAGUGAAAAUAAAAAUAAAAAAAUAAACGCGAAAAAAACAAACAUUUCAAAAGGAGUGCUAGAGUCUAGAAGAUACACACAAGUCGCAAUCAGCCAAAUAGAACGCAGUUAUAAUAAUAGGAAAACAAGACACAUUAGUCAAGUCAAAGAAAAACCUUUGUGAUUCAAUGCUAGUUCAAUUGAAAGCGCUUUUCUAUUUAUAUUUUUAAGAUGAUGUUAAAAAGUGUGAUUUAUAGUUAUAUUUUAUUGAAACUGAUUGUGAUUGCUGACGUAACAUUUUAUGAGGAUCAUUCUGGUGAUGUCAAGGGUAGUCAAUGUAAACUAACCGAGCCCGUAUAUGGAACACAAUUCGAUCUAAGCAAACUGCAUUCGGAGCUUGGUUUAAGGAUAAACGGCGAAGGUCAAGAUUUUAUUGAAUUUAAUGUUUGUGGCAACUUGACCAAAGUAUGUGCGGGUGCUAAAUCGGCGGCAUGUCUUACUCGAAACGGCAAACAACUUAAAUUCGGCACUCAACUUGAUGCAGAACCAAUUUACACAAAUGGUCGCAUCUACUUCAAUUUUACCGGUGAUGUUUGUGAUAAAGAUACAAAUGAAACAUUUAGUCUCCUUAUUAUAACGACUUGUGAUUAUUCAUCGCAUAUUUCAAGCCCAACUAUUCUGAUGCCAUAUAGCCAGGACCAAUGUGCGUUUGUAGUGAUUUGGAGAACAAGAUAUGCAUGCCAUCCAUUGUCAGGACCAUUGAGUACAAAUACAUGCACAGCAAAAGAUCCAAAAACCAACCACACAUUCAAUUUGAUGCAAUUGAGUGACUACAAUCACAAGGUUCUCGGACCAAAUCAGACCGAAUUUCUCAUAAAUAUUUGCAAACCAACACUAUACGGUCACAAUGAAAUGUGUCCACCAAAUGUCAGCGUAUGUCUAGACAAUAAAUCCAAACCAGAUGUGAAAAAGCGUUUCAAAAAUUAUGGUACAACGGUCACCGAUCCAACGUAUGAAAAUGGAAAACUAUUUAUGAAAUUCACAUCGGAUGAGAAAUGCAAUGCAACAACCAAUAAAUAUAUUACAUCCAUCAUCAAUUUUGUAUGCGACGAGAUGAUUGAGUUGGGUCAACCCGAAUAUACUGGCGAACGAGAUUGUGAACAUAGUUUUACAUGGAUUACCUCACUGGCAUGUAACCAAGUAACUCCAUGCCGUACAAUUGAUCCAAUUACUGGAUUUGUUUAUGAUUUGAAUGCAUUGAGUGGUCAAUCGUAUCGAGUACAACAUGGAAAUCAGACAUAUGUUUUUGGCGUAUGCUCAGAACCAAAAGAACCAUGCAAUGGUAAAGCCGGUGCUUGUUUGGUGACUGGUGACCAAAAAGGCCAAUCCGCAUCGCUUGGAAUCGUUAAUAGUGAACUUCAAUUGUCGGAAGAGAAAAACGAAGCACCAUAUAUUUUGUAUAAAAGUGGUUCGGCUUGUGAUACACAACAAUGGACAACAAAAAUUGAAUUUGCAUGUGAACACGAGAGAAUCGAAGCUGGCCCAAAGGUUAUUGAAGACACGAACUGUACGCUUCUUAUUCAAUUUCCAACGGAAUUGGUGUGCAGAAAUGAUAUUCAAUGCAAAGCUCAUAAUAUAUACACUGAUGAAGAGAUUGACUUAACUCCACUUAAAAGUAGCACACAUAAUUACUUGGCACGAAUAAAUGAUACAAUUAAAUCAAAGCAACCAAAUGGAAUAUUGUAUUAUUUGAAUGUUUGCAAACCACUCGUGCCACAAUACGGACUCAGCUGCAAUGCCAAUUCUGCAGCAUGUCGUGCAAUAACAAAUGGCACAAAAAAUCCAGAACAAGAGCAAAGUUUGGGAUAUCCUCGUGCUUCGCUAACAUUUGUUCGUACGGAACAUGGUUCGAGACCACAGUUGAAAUAUUUCGAUGGAAAUGUCUGUCCACAGGACAAACAAACAAAACUAUCAUCACAAAUUGAAUUCUAUUGCGAUCCAGCAGCGGGAAAGGGAACACCAAUAUUACAAAGCAUUUCAAAUGAAUGUCACUACGAAUUUGAAUGGGCCACAAACAUAAUGUGCCCAAUGGUUAAUGGAGAAUUCCGUGAAGAAACGUGCGAAUUGUACAAUCCACAAAUAAAUCACAGCCUUGAUCUUCGACAGAUUUUCACUGAUGGCAUGAUAACGAUCCCUUAUGCGGACAAAAACCAUAGAGUUGAUUUGUGCAAAAAAAGCAAGAAAAUUGAAAUCGACUACACUCAAAGUAUCGUCAAAAUGUUCUUCGAUGAAACGGCCGUCUGUGGAUCAGAUUCAUCAAUUAAUGUGGAGAUGCGGCUUGUUUGCAAUGAGAUUCAAUCCCAUACUUUCACUACUGAUACAGCAUCGUGCGGCAGUGUGUAUGUCAUGGAAACGCCAUUAAUUUGCCCACAAUUGGCUAUUGAAGUUGCCAACAAUGCCGGACCGAAACAUGAAGCCAAAACCAUAAAACAUUCAUUCUGGGGUGCACUUUUAAUAACAGCCGCUGUUACUGUUCUUUUAUUGGCAUUGAUUGUGCUCGUAUUGAGAAAUCCGAACCGACGAUAUCAAAUCAUGCAUUUGUUCCGGCGUGGCGGUGCCAGUGUCCAUUAUUCACGAGAAGAAUUGUUCGACUAUUAAAAUAUAGAGAUUUUAGAGAGAAAAAAAAAUAAUGUUUUGUUUGGAGAUUAAUUACCAUCAUAGUACAGGUUCGCCGGAAUGAAGAAGCAAAUUUAUUACUUGAUCAACCCGAUGGUUUGUCUGACAGCGAUGAGGAUUUGUUAAUUUAAGUGAUUUCAAUUUAUAUUGUCACAACCAUAUUCGAAAUCAAUCAAGGCAGUAAAUCGCAAAAAACUACAACUAUUUUGAUAUCAAUAUAUAAAGUGGCUUUUUCACAUGUAA
Molecule: RNA transcript, 3114 nt
Organism: Contarinia nasturtii (swede midge)
Lineage: Eukaryota; Metazoa; Arthropoda; Insecta; Diptera; Cecidomyiidae
Gene: Lerp
Gene name: cation-independent mannose-6-phosphate receptor
Exons: 16
Source: RefSeq, a predicted model, not a curated record